Molecule: ribosomal RNA, 458 nt
Filed under: uncultured bacterium
Lineage: Bacteria
Description: partial 16S ribosomal RNA
Rfam family: Bacterial small subunit ribosomal RNA
Source: RNAcentral
CCUACGGGAGGCAGCAGUGGGGAAUAUUGCACAAUGGGGGAAACCCUGAUGCAGCGACGCCGCGUGAGUGAAGAAGUAAUUCGUUACGUAAAGCUCUAUCAGCAGGGAAGAAACACUGACCUUACGGUCAGCAGACGGUACCUGAGUAAGAAGCACCGGCUAACUACGUGCCAGCAGCCGCGGUAAUACGUAGGGGGCAAGCGUUAUCCGGAUUUACUGGGUGUAAAGGGAGCGUAGACGGUGCACCAAGUCUGGAGUGAAAUGCCGCAGCUUAACUGCGGAACUGCUUUGGAAAUUGGCGAACUAGAGUGCGGGAGGGGUAAGCGGAAUUCCUAGUGUAGCGGUGAAAUGCGUAGAUAUUAGGAGGAACACCGGUGGCGAAGGCGGCUUACUGGACCGUAACUGACGUUGAGGCUCGAAAGCGUGGGGAGCAAACAGGAUUAGAUACCCCAGUAGUC